RNAcentral lists this long non-coding RNA (8509 nucleotides) under Lactuca sativa (garden lettuce). RNAcentral's name for it is "long non-coding RNA (LSAT_LNC005686)". The record is from RNAcentral. Lineage: Eukaryota; Viridiplantae; Streptophyta; Magnoliopsida; Asterales; Asteraceae.
CUCGCCGAGUCGUUCUUCCGACUCGCCGAGUCACCGCCAUGCAACUAUUCUACACUCGAUUCUGCUCGAAUCCAAUACAUACAAAUGAUAGAUCUGAGUCCAAUAAGCUGAUUUACCACGUAAAGUUUCCAACUUUACGUGUACAAACACAUGAACAAGGGAAUAAAGGCUAAAAGAUGCUUAAAAGGGGUAGAUCUAGGGUUAAUAUGCAAAAUAGCUCCAUAAAGGCAAUAGAUCUGGGCUCUACAACUCCUAAAUGAACAGAUCUAAAGAUAUCUCGGCAUAAUAGGGCUUCCAUAUCAACAUAAGGCUUGAGAAAAGCAUCAACAAGAUCUAGAAAGGGUUUUAAAGCAUAAAAGGGAAGGAAAUCUGAAGAAUACCUCAAAGAGCUCUUGCUUUCCCUUGAAUCUCUGCUCUACAAUCCUUCUCCUUGCUCCUUUCUUCUUCUCCUUCUUCAAGCCUUCACAAUUAGCACACAAAAUCACUUAGAAUCACUCAAGAACGAAUUAGGGUUUUCUCACAGCUUUAGAGGGUGAAGGAGGCGAGAUUGGGGGCUAUAAGGUGGCUUAAAUAGUGGGCAACCCGGGGAUUUAGGGUUUCUCCCAGACGGACAGACUCGCCGAGUCCAGAAUAUGGACUCGCCGAGUCGCCAGCUAACACGUGCUCGAAAUCCCGACCCUACUCGGCGAGUCAGGCUAUGAACUCGCCGAGUCCCUCUUGCAAAACUUCAAAAUAAAUACCAAGGAAUCAUCAUACCGGAAACGGGUCGUUACAAUUCUCCCCCACUUGUCUCAGACUUCGUCCUCGAAGUCUGCUACGGCUGAAUCUGCAAAUAUCUCUGGGUAGUGCUCCCUCAUCUCCUCCUCAGCCUCCCACGUCCACUCAGACCCCUUCCGGUGCUGCCACUGCACCUUCACUAACUGAAUUUCCUUGUUCCUCAAGGUCUUGGUCUUCCGGUCCAGAAUCGCGACCGGUCUCUCAAUAUAAUUCAGGCUGCUAUCAACCUGAAUAUCCUCUAGGGGAACGACUGCUGACUCAUCCACCAAACACUUCCUCAACUGAGACACAUGGAAAGUGUUGUGGAUCUGACUAAGCUCCUCAGGAAGAUCUAACCGAUAAGCAACCCGACCCACCCGGGCCAAAACCCUGAAAGGACCAAUAAAUCUGGGGCCCAACUUGCCCCUCUUCCGGAACCUGAUGACACCCUUCCAAGGUGAGACUUUCAGAAGGACCAUAUCCCCCACCUGGAACUCCAAGUCCGAACGCCUCCUAUCGGCGUAGCUCUUCUGCCGACUCUGAGCAGUCUGCAGUCUACUACGGACCUGCUGGAUCAACUCAGUCGUCUUGAGCACCACCUCCGUGCUCCCGAUGACCCGCUGACCGACCUCGCCCCAACAAAUCGGGGUCCUACACUUCCUCCCAUACAGCAUCUCAAAGGGAGGUCGAUCAAUGCUCGCAUGAUAACUGUUGUUAUACGAGAAUUCCGCUAACGGAAGAUACGUAUCCCAACUGCCACCGAAAUCUAGGACACAUGCCCUAAGCAUGUCCUCGAGAGUCUGAAUCGUCCUCUCGCUCUGCCCGUCUGUCUGAGGGUGGAAAGCGGUGCUGAAAUGGAGACGAGUACCCAUCUCGUCGUGGAACCGCUUCCAAAAUCUGGAUGUGAAACGGACAUCUCGGUCUGACACCACCGAUACCGGCACUCCAUGACGUGCCACAAUCUCACGCACAUAGAUAUCGGCUAACUUCUCCGCCGAUAUACUCUCCUGGAUCGGGAUAAAAUGGGCACUCUUCGUCAACCGAUCCACUACUACCCAUAUCGAAUCCACUCCACGUGCGGUCCGGGGAAGCUUGGUGACAAAAUCCAUGGUGAUGUCCUCCCAUUUCCACACGGGAAUGUCUAACGGUUGCAUCCUGCCGUGAGGUCUCUGGUGCUCCGCCUUGACCUUCCGGCAGGUCAGGCAUCUCUCGACGUACCAGGCGACGUCCCGCUUCAUGCAGGGCCACCAAUAAUCAGGUCGAAGAUCUCGAUACAUCUUCGUCGCCCCUGGGUGGAUAGAAAACCGAGACUUAUGAGCCUCAUCCAUCAACACUUGCCGUACUCCACCCCAGUACGGUACCCACACUCUCCCGUGAAGCGUCAGCAAACCACGACUAUCAUAAUCAAACGAGGCUACUCGGCCCACGAUCCUCUCACACUUCUGUCUCUCCUCCUUGAGACCCUCUACCUGAGCCUCCUUGAUCCGCUCCAACAACGGAGUGAUCACUGUCAUCCUCAAACAUAGAUCCCUGAUAGGGGCCGCCGACACCUUGCGGCUCAGGGCAUCGGCCACCACAUUGGCCUUCCCUGGAUGGUAUAGGAUCUCACAGUCGUAAUCCUUUAGCACAUCCAACCACCUCCUCUGCCUCAUAUUCAGACUCGGCUGAUCCAUAAGAUACCUCAAACUCUUGUGAUCCGUGUAUAUAGUACAACGGACCCCAUAAAGGUAAUGCCUCCAAAUCUUGAGGGCAAACACAACUGCCCCCAGCUCCAAAUCAUGGGUAGGAUAAUUAGCCUCGUGAGGCUUCAACUGUCUCGAGGCAUAAGCUAUCACAUGGCCUCGCUGCAUCAGAACUGCUCCCAAACCUGUGAUCGAGGCAUCACAAUAGACUACAAAGUCCUCUACUCCCUCUGGCAAGGUAAGGAUCGGAGCCUCGCACAAUCUCUGCCUGAGGGUCUCGAACGCUGUCUGCUGCUCAGGACCCCAACGAAAUACCACUGACUUCUUGGUCAGUCGGGUGAGCGGCACUGCUAUCUUGGAGAAAUCCUGAAUAAAUCUCCGAUAAUACCCUGCCAACCCUAGGAAGCUCCGAAUCUCAGAUGGAGACUUCGGGACCUCCCACUGCAUCACGGCCUCUAUCUUGGCCGGAUCUACCAAAAUACCCUUCUGGUUGACGAGGUGACCAAGGAACUGCACCUCGCGCAACCAGAACUCACAUUUGGAGAACUUUGCGAAAAGUCUCUCCCUCCUCAAAACCUCCAGCACCUCCCGCAGGUGCUCCUCGUGCUGCUCCUGCGUCUUGGAAUAUACCAAGAUAUCAUCUAUGAACACUAUCACUGACCGAUCCAGCAUCGGCCUACACACGCGGUUCAUGAGAUCCAUGAACGCGGCUGGAGCAUUGGUGAGCCCAAAUGGCAUCACCACAAACUCAUAAUGACCAUACCUGGUCCUGAAAGCAGUCUUCUGUACAUCCUCAUCUCUAACCCGCAUCUGAUGAUAACCGGAGCGUAGAUCGAUCUUGGAGAACCAAGACGCUCCCUGAAGCUGAUCAAACAAAUCAUCUAUCCUCGGAAGUGGGUAACGGUUCUUCACCGUUACCUUAUUCAACUCCCGAUAAUCUAUACACAUACGAUGCGACCCAUCCUUCUUCCUCACAAACAGGAUCGGCGCUCCCCAAGGCGAACUGCUCGGCCGAAUGAAACCCUUGUCUAACAGCUCCUGCAGCUGUGUAGACAACUCCUGCAUCUCAGGGGGAGCUAGUCGAUACGGUGCCUUGGCUAUCGGAGCCGCACCAGGAAUGAGGUCGAUCCUGAACUCAACCUGUCUCUCAGGAGGUAUCCCCGGCAAAUCCUCGGGAAACACAUCCGGGUAGUCUCGAACAAUAGGAACAUCAUCCACUGUCGACUUGCCCUUCUCCCGGGCAUCCAAAACGUAAGCUACAAAACCGGCGCAACCCUGCUGAACAUAGCGCCUCGCCCUUGCGGCGGAACAAAAGGUCGGUCCUCGCUGUGGCCUCUCGCCCUGAAUCACCAACUCUCCCCCACUGGGAGUGCGAACCCUCACUAGCUGAAGCUCACAAUCAAUCACCGCCCCAUUGGGGCUUAGCCAAUCCAUACCCACAAUAACCUUAUUCCCUCGCAGGGGAAUAGGUACCAGAUCCACUGAAAACUGCUCAUCAAAUAACUGAAGAGAACACCCUCUAUGCACUCUGCCGACCCUCACGGUCCUAUCAUCCGCUAUCUCAACCUCUAAUGGACAAUCCAGCUCCCCUGGAGCUCUACUAAAUCUCUUGCUAAGCGCAAGUGAUACGAAUGAUCGGGUAGCCCCCGAAUCGAAUAAUACCAUAGCAGAAAUGCCGUUCACAGAGAACGACCCUGAAUAAAACAUACAAUCAUAAGCAAUAUUCAAUCAAUAAUAAUAAAGAGAUAAAGGGAAGAUACAUACCCGUCACCACAUCAGGAGUCGCUCGCGCCUCCUCUGCUGUCAUCUGAAACGCCCUACUCUUCGCCACUGGCGCAUCAGCUCGGCCCUGCCGGCCAUCUGUAAUCCUCAAGGUAGCAGGGGCAGGUGCAGCCACCUUCCCUGCUGCAGCUAAACUCGGACACUGGGACUUUUUAUGUCCCCUCUGAUUGCACUGAAAGCAAAUCAGAUCUGAUGCUGCGACGGCAGUAGCAGGGGCCGUACAAUCCCUACUCAAAUGCCCAAUCCGACCGCACUUGUAGCAGCCGGAACUCCCUGCCUUGCACGCUCCCUCGUGCAAUCUCCCACACUUGCCACAUCGACCGUGGCUCUGCUGACUCCUAGAUCUGUGAUCUGAAACCUUGGGCUUUUUGCCCGAACCGCCUGAACCCGAAACCGCCUCCGGUUUCCUCUUCUUCUCCAUCUCGAGAUCAAUCUCCCUCUCCCGAGCCCUAGCAAUCAUAUCUUCCAGCGUUUUACAGCUGGACCGGCUCACAAACUGGCGGAUAUCGCUCCGCAACAUCUCAUGAUAAUGGGCCUUCUUCAUUUCCUCAUCUGCUACGUACUGAGGAACGAGAAGAGCCCUCUCCCUGAACUUGGCGGUGAUCUCCGCCACUGUCUCUGUAGUCUGGGUGAGGUCCUGAAACUCCCUAGCNNNNNNNNNNNNNNNNNNNNNNNNNNNNNNNNNNNNNNNNNNNNNNNNNNNNNNNNNNNNNNNNNNNNNNNNNNNNNNNNNNNNNNNNNNNNNNNNNNNNNNNNNNNNNNNNNNNNNNNNNNNNNNNNNNNNNNNNNNNNNNNNNNNNNNNNNNNNNNNNNNNNNNNNNNNNNNNNNNNNNNNNNNNNNNNGUUGGCCACACCAACCAUCUAGUACUCGCUAUGGGGUCCCGCGCCCCAUGAUAGUCCGGAGCUCCACAUGCAUGAACUCCCUGAAAGUAAGGGUGCGCGACCCCAUCAUGGCCGCCACCUCGGCACGGAAGGUGCCCAAUCUCUCAUCCAUCAGCUCUAGAAUUCCCUCCUUGAUCGAACCGAAGAUCACAGGAGUCUGCUCUAUAAUGAUGCGCGUAAUCUCCGAAGAAAGAAAAUCUCGGGUCUGCUCAUCCAUGCGCUCAUCCCCCGAGCCUGAACCUGAUCCCUCCCCGGCACCUCCACUGCCGGCUGCUGGUCUCGAACGCAAAACCACCAUUCUGAAACACAUCACAACUACAUCAGAAAACGGAAAUAUCUCAAGGGAUCAUUGAUACUACAACUAGCUCCCUGGUCUUGUCUCAGCCUUUCUUGAUUCGAGUACGGAUCCUCUGCUUUCAGUAGUACGGGCCCAUACUACCUUCCACAUCUAUCCGUACUUUCUUCAAGAACUGCCCUGACUCCACCAAGUCACUUCUACUACUACUGAUCUCUGCUACUCUCAUCCUAGGCUUGCCCCAGGGAAACCUCAGACUCAACUCAACUAGUCCUCAGCUGCUGCAGGUCUCCUUAUAAUGCUAAUUAACCACCACCUGAACACCAUCACAUGUGACGAAGAUCAGAUAAUCCUUCAAGUAAAAGACCCGUCCCUAUAACGGUUGGACUCAAACAAGAGCUGCGCAAUAGGGCCAGUUCCAGCACUCUGGGAUUAUUCAACCCUGAUCACAUGUGGUGUGACGUGUUCACCUAAUGGCUAACUCCCAUCACUCAGAACCCCACAAAGCACGAAGCAAGCAGCAUUCGGAUAAAGGAAACAUACUCAGGCAAAACUAUUCUCAUAACGAGAAACUGUACUAGCAUACAAUGCUAAGCUCAUACUAUCAGGCAUAACCUAAACAGGCUAUCCUACUGCUGUCUACUCAAUACUAGCAUGCAAUACUCAUAAAGCUGUAACACAUAAAGCAGGCACAUAAGGCAUCCUCCUAGAUCCUUAGUCCUAUACUAGCAUGCUGUUCUACUGAAACUGAAACUGAACAAAUAACUUGUAUGGGUAAUUUGGGAGUACUUACUUGAGCUCGGCUGAUCGCAUGCACCACACCCUUAUCUCGUUUAAAAAUUUCUUUCUUUCUAAGUGCUUUCAAAAUUCUUUUAGAAAACAUUUUCCUUUUUAAAAAUCUUUUUAUUUCCCCUUAGUUUGAGUUCAGAUACACCCGGAAGUGUAUCCGAAUCCCUCAAACCAGGGCUCUGAUACCAACUUGAAACGACCCAAAAAUACGACCCAAAAAUUUCAUUUUUCAACAUAACCAAAAACCAUAAUCUGAGUGUCAUAUCAUAAACCAUACAUGAUGUAUCUCAAAAUAAUUAAAAAAACACUGUGCGGAAAACUGUAUCAUAUCCAUGUCAUAUAAAAAUCAAAAACUAAAUCAACUCCCAGGAUAAAAGCUGAAGCUGUGGUGUGUGCGAUGCCAUCAUCCCGAGCUCUUCCCUUUGCUUGCGGAAGUACCUGAAACCAAAACUGAAACUGUAAGCACGAAGCUUAGUGAGCUCCCCCAAUCUACCACAUACCACACAAUAACAUAUAAAGCACAUACUGGGCCUUGCCCACUGCAUCGGACCGAAGUCCGGACUAACUGGGGCCUUGCCCCCUACAUCGGACCGAAGUCCGAAGCUGACUGGGACCUUGUCCCCUACAUCGGACCGAAGUCCGAAGCUGACAUCGGACCGAAGUCCGAAGCUGACUGGGACCUUGUCCCCUACAUCGAACCGAAGUCCGAAGCUGACAUCGGACCGAAGUCCGAAGCUGACUGGGACCUUGUCCCCUACAUCGAACCGAAGUCCGAAGCUGACAUCGGACCGAAGUCCGAAGCUGACUGGGACCUUGUCCCCUACAUCGAACCGAAGUCCGAAGCUGACAUCGGACCGAAGUCCGAAGCUGACUGAUCAUAACAUAAACGUAUCACUUAACAUGAACACACAUAAUCCUGUCUGAGCCACGAAGGCAUCAAACAUGCUAACUACUGCAUCGGAUCAAAAUCCGGAUACUACUGCUAGCUAAACGGGCCGGCAUUGUGGCCUUAGACCCGUUCCUACUGAAAGGAAACUCACCUCGUGAACUGGCUGCUGAGUGAAUAGCUCUGAGGGCUAACUGCUGCUGCUCCGGUAUCUCCCCGGCUACAAGUCCAUAAACACACUCAAUCAAAUACUAAACACUGCACUGGGUAAAAUGACUCUUUUACCCUUGGUCAAAGUCAACUCUCGGUCAAAGUCAACCCACAGUUGACCUGACUCGCCGAGUUGGGCCGCCAACUCGCCGAGUCCCUAUUCUCACUCCUCGACCCUACUCGCUGCUACUCGUCGAGUAUGGCAUCGACUCGACGAGUACCCUCUCGAUCCAAGAACUCAGACAAUCUUCAUCCGACUCGCCGAGUCAUAUGAACAACUCGACGAGUUGUUCUUGAGCUUAAGAAGAUUGCCUUGGACUCGCCGAGUUGUAUGAACAACUCGCCGAGUCCCUCCAUUACUGAGUCUACCCUCAAACUCGCUGAGUCCACUCCACUACUCACUGGUCCCACUCGACACCGCUCAAAAGGAAGAAAUCGGGGACUCGCGACUCGACUCGCCGAGUCGUUCUUCCGACUCGCCGAGUCACCGCCAUGCAACUAUUCUACACUCGAUUCUGCUCGAAUCCAAUACAUACAAAUGAUAGAUCUGAGUCCAAUAAGCUGAUUUACCACGUAAAGUUUCCAACUUUACGUGUACAAACACAUGAACAAGGGAAUAAAGGCUAAAAGAUGCUUAAAAGGGGUAGAUCUAGGGUUAAUAUGCAAAAUAGCUCCAUAAAGGCAAUAGAUCUGGGCUCUACAACUCCUAAAUGAACAGAUCUAAGGAUAUCUCGGCAUAAAAGAGCUUCCAUAUCAACAUAAGGCUUGAGAAAAGCAUCAACAAGAUCUAGAAAGGGUUUUAAAGCAUAAAAGGGAAGGAAAUCUGAAGAAUACCUCAAAGAGCUCUUGCUUUCCCUUGAAUCUCUGCUCUACAAUCCUUCUCCUUGCUCCUUUCUUCUUCUCCUUCUUCAAGCCUUCACAAAUGCACACAAGAUCACUUAAAACACUCAAGAUCGAAUUAGGGUUUUCUCACAGCUUUUGAGGGUGAAGGAGGCGAGAUUGGGGGCUAUAAGGUGGCUUAAAUAGUGGGCAACCCGGGGAUUUAGGGUUUCUCCCAGACGGACAGACUCGCCGAGUCCAGAAUAUGGACUCGCCGAGUCGCCAGCUAACACGUGCUCGAAAUCCCGACCCUACUCGGCGAGUCAGGCUAUGAACUCGCCGAGUCCCUCUUGCAAAACUUCAAAAUAAAUACCAAGGAAUUAUCAUACCGGAGACGGGUCGUUACAA